This 49-nucleotide ribosomal RNA is filed under the name Steinernema carpocapsae. RNAcentral describes it as "partial small subunit ribosomal RNA". Lineage: Eukaryota; Metazoa; Nematoda; Chromadorea; Rhabditida; Steinernematidae. The record is from RNAcentral.
UAGGCUAUGUUUAUUUAAAUAAAUACUUGCAAUAGUCUAUAGGGUAAAA